AUAGAUACACACCUUAGCUGGAUACAAAACAUUAUAUGAAAAAGAAUGACUGUGAUCUUUGAUCCAAGCAAUCAAAAAGAAAGUUAACGAAAUUAUCAGGAAGGAAUUUUCUGGACUCCCUGCCAGAAGUCAGACAUAGAAGAAGAGAUUUGUGAGACAACUUUUACCGAAUCCUUCCAUAAGUGACCUCUUAGAUCCUUCCAGUGCCCCUGCAACCUCUGGCUUCCUUUGCAGUUCAUCUCCAGGCAGAGACUCAGCGCAAGGAACAAUGAAUUGGCACCAAGUGACAGCCUUGGCUGAGCAACUCGCCACCUCUGUCUGUAAACACCACGAAGGACACCCUUCCUUUCAUCCAGAGAUCACAUUGUUCUCCUGGAACAGAGCAUCUGUCUGAGGAAACACUCCAGCCUGCUGCAAACCCUCUGUCUGUGCGUCCAUCCAUCGGGACCAUCACCCGUGCCCCGCGCAGGGCUCAGAGCCCGGGGUGGACACGGGGGUGGGAAAAGGGGAACACAGAGUGAUAUAUUCCAUGGAGGACUGCCAGCACCCUGCAGGUCACCAGCAGUGACUGGCCCUCCAGGUAUCCAAACCCUCCUGAGAAAUGUCAUUGUUGUAGGGAGCUGAGGCAGCCCAAGCUCAGCCUGCAUCCAGUCUGGGAUCAAAAGCCAGUUUGCUCUGAGCACUGUGAUUGGUAUUUCAAACAGGAGAUGUCAGCUGAAUCCAAGAGUUUUCUUCGCUUUUCCCAUCAGACUGGAUAGGAAUUUGAAGGAGAGGGAUUCUCAUAUCCAACCAGUGAAAAGAGCAAAUCAGCAGCUGCAAUGCCUGUCCCAAAGUAAAAUAAACCCAGGUAAAACAGAGAUUAAUAUAUAGGAGUCACAGUAAAUCCAAAGAUUUUAUGAUUGAUCCUUAUUAGUAUUUAGGCAGUGUAUGAACACAUCUUCGAUAUUUUCUAACAAAUUGUUGCUGUUUCUUUUCAUGUAGAACCUGCUCUUGCCUCAUAACUUGUCUCAUUUAGCAGCUGGAACAUUUACUCACCCAAGCUGCAGGGGAAAAUAAGUGCAUCUUACAGAAGCCAUACAUUCCAGAGAAAAUAUACACUUAUUCAUAUUCACCUGGCCUCUUUAGCUUUGCAAAGCUACCAGCAAUUCCUGGAAAGGUUAAAUUUCCAUGGGAGGUUAUAUUUUGUUAGGUUUUGCUUCGUGUGUUCGAAUAUCCUGUCCUGACUCCUGCUUAGCACAUUCCAGGUAACCACUGCCACCUGCAGCUACAAGUUAGAAUAUUUAGGGGAGUCAGGGCCUCCUCAGUGGGAUAAAAAGGCUUCCUGAGUGGGUAAUCAGUGUACAGAACAAGAUAACCAUAAUGUUUUAGGAAUUACAUAGUAGUCUUUCCUGGUUCUAUAAAUAAGGAAUGCUGAUAUUUUCAGGAAUGCAGAGCCUGAGCUCUGCUGUAGAAAGCACAGUGAAACUAAUCCAGUUUUCAGUUGUGUCACAGUAAAUUUUGUAGAAUACCAGCAUGUCCACUGCUCACAGCAGGAAUCAGAGGAUGGGAACACAGCAGAGCAAAAUUGGUUCCCCGAUGUCUCAAGAUUUUGCACAGUCCCUGCAGAGCACGUGCUUGGUCCAACAAAAAUCUCUUCAGGACUAUCAGGAAGAAUGUCUUCUCUGCCACUAAAAACUGGUGCUUAAACUCUGCAAGGUCUUGGGGUUUUAGAGUGGGAGACAGAAGCAUUAGGUUCUUCAGAACGCCUGACCUUGGGCUCAGCUCAAAUUUGUCUCUUGAACAGAAAUCUGAAUUCCACAAGAGCAGCUCUGAACUCCAGAUUCAGCCCAGCUCAGAUUCAGAAGCAGAGCAGAGCCCUGCAGGUCCCAGCCUGGCAUUAAUGGCACACCCUGGCUUCUACUUCUGCUUUGUGAGCUUCCAAUCUUCCACCCCAAAAGGAGUUCCCUGUACCCCAACCCCCAGAACUCCCGGGGUGCCCCGGUGCCCUCCCCAGUGCCCUGCAGAGUCCAAGCCUCAGCCCCGACCUGCAGAGGUGAAAAUGGCUUUUUUUAAUUGCUGACUUUCACAGAAACCAAACGGAGGCCCAGCCUUGCAGAAGAGGGGAAUUGCUGUGAGGCAGCACUCAGUAGGGCUCAGACUGGCUCACACGCCUCAGAAAGCUAUUUGGGAUUGUUAGAAGCUGUCAGGGAGCCAGAAUCUGACACAUAUUAAGGGUUUUUUAGUGCAGUCUGAUGAAUUGGACAAUUCUGACAUAUUCUAAAGGCCAAAAGUUGCCUGUCAGAAGUUCUCUGCUAUAGCUGAGUAAAAGAACAGACCAAAUGCAUCUCCGAGUUUCACACUUGGAUGUUUCCAAUGUUUUCCAUGAUCCAACCUGUAAAGUAUAGGAGAAAUUUAAAAAAACAACCCAAAA
This is a non-coding RNA of Cyanistes caeruleus (blue tit), 2410 nucleotides long. NCBI's taxonomy places the organism in Eukaryota, Metazoa, Chordata, Aves, Passeriformes, Paridae. The record is from RefSeq and is a predicted model, not a curated record.